This 458-nucleotide ribosomal RNA is filed under the name uncultured bacterium. RNAcentral describes it as "partial 16S ribosomal RNA". It matches the Rfam family "Bacterial small subunit ribosomal RNA", at positions 338 to 795 of the family's 1533-position model. The record is from RNAcentral.
CCUACGGGAGGCUGCAGUGAGGAAUAUUGGUCAAUGGGCGAGAGCCUGAACCAGCCAAGUCGCGUGAGGGAGUACUGCCCUAUGGGUUGUAAACCUCUUUUGUCGGGGAGCAAAAGCCGGACGUGUCCGGCUGUGAGAGUACCCGAAGAAAAAGCAUCGGCUAACUCCGUGCCAGCAGCCGCGGUAAUACGGAGGAUGCGAGCGUUAGCCGGAUUUAUUGGGUUUAAAGGGUGCGCAGGCGGAUUUUUAAGUCAGCGGUAAAAUCGUGGGGCUCAACCCCAUCCAGCCGUUGAAACUGGGGAUCUAGAGUGUGCGAGAGGUAUGCGGAAUGCGUGGUGUAGCGGUGAAAUGCAUAGAUAGCACGCAGAACCCCGAUUGCGAAGGCAGCAUACCGGUGCACAACUGACGCUCAGGCACGAAAGCGUGGGUAUCGAACAGGAUUAGAUACCCUUGUAGUC